AAGGGGGGUGCAAGCGUUGUUCGGAAUCAUUGGGCGUAAAGCGCGCGCAGGCGGCUUGGUAAGUAAGAUGUGAAAUGCAUGGGCUUAACCUAGGAAGGGCAUUUGAUACUGGCUCUCUAGAGUAUGGGAGAGGAAAGUGGAAUUCCUGGUGUAGAGGUGAAAUGCGUAGAUAUCAGGAGGAACACCAGUGGCGAAGGCGACUUUCUGGCUCAUUACUGACGCUCAGGCGCUAAAGUGUGUGGAACAAACAG
RNAcentral lists this ribosomal RNA (251 nucleotides) under uncultured prokaryote. RNAcentral describes it as "partial 16S rRNA". It matches the Rfam family "Bacterial small subunit ribosomal RNA", at positions 525 to 775 of the family's 1533-position model. The record is from RNAcentral.